This 24-nucleotide non-coding RNA is filed under the name Rattus norvegicus (Norway rat). The record is from RNAcentral. Lineage: Eukaryota; Metazoa; Chordata; Mammalia; Rodentia; Muridae.
UAGAUGUGUCGCUUCCAUGUCAGA